GGGUUGUGAGGUUAAGCGACUAAGCGUACACGGUGGAUGCCCUGGCAGUCAGAGGCGAUGAAGGACGUGCUAAUCUGCGAUAAGCGCCGGUAAGGUGAUAUGAACCGUUAUAACCGGCGAUUUCCGAAUGGGGAAACCCAGUGUGACUCGUCACACUAUCAUUAACUGAAUCCAUAGGUUAAUGAGGCGAACCGGGGGAACUGAAACAUCUAAGUACCCCGAGGAAAAGAAAUCAACCGAGAUUCCCCCAGUAGCGGCGAGCGAACGGGGAGGAGCCCAGAGCCUGAAUCAGCAUGUGUGUUAGUGGAAGCGUCUGGAAAGGCGCGCGAUACAGGGUGACAGCCCCGUACACAAAAGCGCAUGUGCUGUGAGCUCGAUGAGUAGGGCGGGACACGUGGUAUCCUGUCUGAAUAUGGGGGGACCAUCCUCCAAGGCUAAAUACUCCUGACUGACCGAUAGUGAACCAGUACCGUGAGGGAAAGGCGAAAAGAACCCCGGCGAGGGGAGUGAAAAAGAACCUGAAACCGUGUACGUACAAGCAGUGGGAGCCCCACCACUAAGCCAGUGGUGAACUCCACAUACGCAUCCUUUGCUGAGGAUACGGUUAACGGAGCGAAAGCGACGUUCAACCGCAAAAGAAGCAGAGGGGGCUUAGUGGUGGGGUGACUGCGUACCUUUUGUAUAAUGGGUCAGCGACUUAUAUUCUGUAGCAAGGUUAACCGAAUAGGGGAGCCGGAGGGAAACCGAGUCUUAACCGGGCGUUAAGUUGCAGGGUAUAGACCCGAAACCCGGUGAUCUAGCCAUGGGCAGGUUGAAGGUUGGGUAACACUAACUGGAGGACCGAACCGACUAAUGUUGAAAAAUUAGCGGAUGACCUGUGGCUGGGGGUGAAAGGCCAAUCAAACCGGGAGAUAGCUGGUUCUCCCCGAAAGCUAUUUAGGUAGCGCCUCGUGAAUUCAUCUCCGGGGGUAGAGCACUGUUUCGGCUAGGGGGCCAUCCCGGCUUACCAACCCGAUGCAAACUGCGAAUACCGGAGAAUGUUAUCACGGGAGACACACGGCGGGUGCUAACGUCCGUCGUGAAGAGGGAAACAACCCAGACCGCCAGCUAAGGUCCCAAAGUCAUGGUUAAGUGGGAAACGAUGUGGGAAGGCCCAGACAGCCAGGAUGUUGGCUUAGAAGCAGCCAUCAUUUAAAGAAAGCGUAAUAGCUCACUGGUCGAGUCGGCCUGCGCGGAAGAUGUAACGGGGCUAAACCAUGCACCGAAGCUGCGGCAGCGACGCUGAUGCGUUGUUGGGUAGGGGAGCGUUCUGUAAGCCUGUGAAGGUGGCCUGUGAGGGUUGCUGGAGGUAUCAGAAGUGCGAAUGCUGACAUAAGUAACGAUAAAGCGGGUGAAAAGCCCGCUCGCCGGAAGACCAAGGGUUCCUGUCCAACGUUAAUCGGGGCAGGGUGAGUCGACCCCUAAGGCGAGGCCGAAAGGCGUAGUCGAUGGGAAACGGGUUAAUAUUCCCGUACUUGGUGUUACUGCGAAGGGGGGACGGAGAAGGCUAUGUUGGCCGGGCGACGGUUGUCCCGGUUUAAGCGUGUAGGUGUGUGUUCCAGGUAAAUCCGGUUCACUUUAACACUGAGGCGUGAUGACGAGGCACUACGGUGCUGAAGCAACAAAUGCCCUGCUUCCAGGAAAAGCCUCUAAGCAUCAGGUAACAUCAAAUCGUACCCCAAACCGACACAGGUGGUCAGGUAGAGAAUACCAAGGCGCUUGAGAGAACUCGGGUGAAGGAACUAGGCAAAAUGGUGCCGUAACU
Molecule: ribosomal RNA, 1804 nt
Filed under: Salmonella enterica
Lineage: Bacteria; Pseudomonadati; Pseudomonadota; Gammaproteobacteria; Enterobacterales; Enterobacteriaceae
Also listed under: 1 other name
Description: partial 23S ribosomal RNA
Rfam family: Bacterial large subunit ribosomal RNA
Source: RNAcentral